This 612-nucleotide long non-coding RNA is filed under the name Olea europaea subsp. europaea. Lineage: Eukaryota; Viridiplantae; Streptophyta; Magnoliopsida; Lamiales; Oleaceae. The record is from RNAcentral.
GGUAUAAUUUAAUUACAAGAAAUUCAAACACAAAAUAUAAUAAUAUAUUAAAAAAUAAAAAUUCAUAUAAUUUUUUUUUUUCAGGCUCAAGUGGGGGCCUGGGACUCCACUAUCCUCCACCUGCCUCCGCCACUUCCGACAAAGUCCUGGCUCGGUAUGGUUGCACAAAGAAAAGUUGAAUUUACGUGGAUCUCGCGUGAAUAAAAUAAUUCCAACGUAUGAUCCCCACAUUCUUAUUGUGAGUGUAUGUAAAGUAUUAGGUAAAAAAAAUUAGAUACAUCUAGCAUGGACCGAGGAAAGAAGAAAGAAGGUCUAAUCCCAACCUUGAGGGCUCUCCACCGCCCCGUCUUUGGAGCAUUGUGAGAGAGGUAAAUCGCAGGAUGUGCCUCAGCAAGCCAGAGAACAAGAUUUUACCCGUACACUGGUGCCCACAAAGAGUCCAAUUUCAUAUAUUAGAAAUCGAACCCUCACACUACGACUGCCAACAAGGCUUGAGACUACCCCAUUCUUGUCCUAUGUACCACUGGUUUACACAUGAUCUUGUUGAAGUUGAAUUAGAUCAUUUAUUUUUUCCCAUAAAAUUUUCUAAACGACCUUGUGUUACCAUUAAGG